This 658-nucleotide ribosomal RNA is filed under the name uncultured bacterium. RNAcentral describes it as "bacterial SSU rRNA". It matches the Rfam family "Bacterial small subunit ribosomal RNA", at positions 186 to 841 of the family's 1533-position model. The record is from RNAcentral.
GGGCAUCCCGGAGGCAGGAAAGGCUUCGGCCGGACAGGGAUGGGCAUGCGGCGCAUUAGGCAGUAGGCGGGGUAACGGCCCACCUAACCGACGAUGCGUAGGGGUUCUGAGAGGAAGGUCCCCCACACUGGUACUGAGACACGGACCAGACUCCUACGGGAGGCAGCAGUGAGGAAUAUUGGUCAAUGGUCGGGAGACUGAACCAGCCAAGCCGCGUGAGGGAGGAAGGUACAGAGUAUCGUAAACCUCUUUUGUCAGGGAACAAAGACUGGGACGCGUCCCCGGAUGAGUGUACCUGAAGAAAAAGCAUCGGCUAACUCCGUGCCAGCAGCCGCGGUAAUACGGAGGAUGCGAGCGUUAUCCGGAUUUAUUGGGUUUAAAGGGUGCGCAGGCGGUCUGUUAAGUCAGCGGUCAAAGCCCGGGGCUCAACCCCGGCCCGCCGUUGAAACUGGCAGUCUCGAGUUGGAGAGAAGUAUGCGGAAUGCGCGGUGUAGCGGUGAAAUGCAUAGAUAUCGCGCAGAACUCCGAUUGCGAAGGCAGCAUGCCGGCUCCACACUGACGCUGAGGCACGAAAGCGUGGGUAUCGAACAGGAUUAGAUACCCUGGUAGUCCACGCAGUAAACGAUGAAUGCUGGCUGUCCGGGGGGACUGACCCCUG